This 92-nucleotide transfer RNA is filed under the name Gammaproteobacteria bacterium. Its description in RNAcentral is "tRNA-Sec". It matches the Rfam family "Selenocysteine transfer RNA". Lineage: Bacteria; Pseudomonadati; Pseudomonadota; Gammaproteobacteria. The record is from RNAcentral.
GGAGAGGAAGAUGCCCGGUGGUAUCCGCGGGCUUCAAACCCGUCGUGAGGCAGUGCACCUGUCUCUGGUAGGUUCGACUCCUACCCUCUCCG